RNAcentral lists this long non-coding RNA (344 nucleotides) under Homo sapiens (human). RNAcentral's name for it is "HSALNT0297167". Lineage: Eukaryota; Metazoa; Chordata; Mammalia; Primates; Hominidae. The record is from RNAcentral.
UUCAGAGAUAAUGAAUGUUGAGACAUAAAAAAGAUUUUACUUUAGGCCAACUCUCCUGAAAAAGUGGUAGGUGUAUAUGAUCUCCGCAUAAAGUGAAAAAUAUGGUUUCUGCUGACCAGAGGUUAGACUGUGGCAAAGACUGCUUUUGCUCAAAAUCUAUUAUCCCUUCCGAAAUGUAUAGAGCUGUCUGGAGUUCAUGUUGCCUUUUCCUGGAGAACAAGUAAAUCAAGUAAAUGGGAGGGGAAAGAGUAAGGACAGAACUGGGACUCAUUUCUCUCUUACUAAGGGGAUGUCCCAUGGAAAGAACACCUCUUACCAGCCUCCUAAUAAACGUUCUGAUGGUA